This 220-nucleotide long non-coding RNA is filed under the name Panax ginseng (ginseng). RNAcentral describes it as "long non-coding RNA (PGIN_LNC006118)". The record is from RNAcentral. Lineage: Eukaryota; Viridiplantae; Streptophyta; Magnoliopsida; Apiales; Araliaceae.
CUCGUUCUCGGGAUCUACCGGCCGAGAAAAGGGUGAAGAAAAGGUCGACGGAGGGAGUAACCCCCAGUUCGUGGCAGAAGGCAGCGAACGCCAGUAUGUGGAUGUAAGAGUUGGGCACCAACUGAGCAAAGCCCACUCCUAUGAAUCCUAGGAGGGUGACGACAAAGACGUGAAGGGGUAGGCGAAUCCCCUUUUCCAGAAGAGUAGCAGGCAUGGCGAC